GAGGGGAUAGAGUUCGGAAUGAGACUAUCCGGGAGAAGGUUGGUGUGACUUCAGUGGAGUGUAAGAUGCGGGAAGCACGAUUGAGAUGGUUCGGACACGUGAAGAGGAGGGGCAUGGGUGCCCCGGUGCGUAGGGGUGAGAGGCUAGCGUUGGAUGGUUUUAGACGGGGUAGAGGUAGACCGAAGAAGUACUGGGGUGAGGUGAUUAGGCGGGACAUGGAACAGCUACAGCUCACCAAGGACAUGACCCUAGAUAGGAAGGUCUGGAGAGCGCGAAUUACGGCAGAGGAUUAGGGCCAGUUUGGGUCGCUAGUGUAAAUUACUUGGUGGGGUUUUUUUUAUUUUUUAUUUUUUAUUCCCGUUAUGAUUCCGUAUUCAGUGUUCCAUGCUUAUUACGAAUCUGUGUGCUUUCCUCUGCUUUCCUCUGUUUUAUAUUCCUUAUGGGUGCCGUAUUUAUGUUAUGUCAUCUGCUUCUGUGCUUUACUAUGUGUUUGUGUGAUAUCUUGUGCCUUGAGCCGGGGUCUUUCGGAAACAGCCUUUCUACUUCAUCAGAGGUAGAGGUAUGGACUGCGUACAUCUUACCCCCCCC
This 588-nucleotide long non-coding RNA is filed under the name Capsicum annuum. RNAcentral describes it as "long non-coding RNA (CANN_LNC013557)". The record is from RNAcentral. Lineage: Eukaryota; Viridiplantae; Streptophyta; Magnoliopsida; Solanales; Solanaceae.